Ribosomal RNA from Drosophila sechellia, 223 nucleotides. It matches the Rfam family "Eukaryotic large subunit ribosomal RNA", at positions 1 to 210 of the family's 3401-position model. The record is from Rfam. Lineage: Eukaryota; Metazoa; Arthropoda; Insecta; Diptera; Drosophilidae.
CAACCUCAACUCAUAUGGGACUACCCCCUGAAUUUAAGCAUAUUAAUUAGGGGAGGAAAAGAAACUAACAAGGAUUUUCUUAGUAGCGGCGAGCGAAAAGAAAACAGUUCAGCACUAAGUCACUUUGUCUAUAUGGCAAAUGUGAGAUGCAGUGUAUGGAGCGUCAAUAUUCUAGUAUGAGAAAUUAAUGAUUUAAGUCCUUCUUAAAUGAGGCCAUUUACCC